GACGAACGCUGGCGGCGUGCCUAAUACAUGCAAGUCGAGCGAACCAAUAAGAAGCUUGCUUUUUGUUGGUUAGCGGCGGACGGGUGAGUAACACGUGGGUAACCUGCCUGUAAGACCGGGAUAACUCGCGGAAACGUGAGCUAAUACUUGAUAGUUUAUCUUUCUGCCUGGAGAGAUAAGGAAAGAUGGCUUUUGUCAUCACUUAUAGAUGGGCCCGCGGCGCAUUAGCUAGUUGGUGAGGUAACGGCUCACCAAGGCAACGAUGCGUAGCCGACCUGAGAGGGUGAUCGGCCACACUGGGACUGAGACACGGCCCAGACUCCUACGGGUGGCAG
Molecule: ribosomal RNA, 335 nt
Filed under: uncultured Bacillota bacterium
Lineage: Bacteria; Bacillati; Bacillota
Description: bacterial SSU rRNA
Rfam family: Bacterial small subunit ribosomal RNA
Source: RNAcentral